RNAcentral lists this ribosomal RNA (442 nucleotides) under uncultured bacterium. Its description in RNAcentral is "partial 16S ribosomal RNA". It matches the Rfam family "Bacterial small subunit ribosomal RNA", at positions 338 to 795 of the family's 1533-position model. The record is from RNAcentral.
CCUACGGGUGGCUGCAGUGGGGAAUAUUGGGCAAUGGGCGCAAGCCUGACCCAGCAACGCCGCGUGAAGGAAGAAGGCUUUCGGGUUGUAAACUUCUUUUCUGGGGGACGAACAAAUGACGGUACCCCAGGAAUAAGCCACGGCUAACUACGUGCCAGCAGCCGCGGUAAUACGUAGGUGGCAAGCGUUAUCCGGAUUUAUUGGGUGUAAAGGGCGUGUAGGCGGGAAUGCAAGUCAGAUGUGAAAACUCAGGGCUCAACCCUGAGCCUGCAUUUGAAACUGUGUUUCUUGAGUGCUGGAGAGGCAAUCGGAAUUCCGGGUGUAGCGGUGAAAUGCGUAGAUAUACGGAGGAACACCAGUGGCGAAGGCGGAUUGCUGGACAGUAACUGACGCUGAGGCGCGAAAGUGUGGGUAUCAAACAGGAUUAGAUACCCCGGUAGUC